Long non-coding RNA from Grus americana (Whooping crane), 580 nucleotides. RefSeq lists it as uncharacterized. The record is from RefSeq and is a predicted model, not a curated record. NCBI's taxonomy places the organism in Eukaryota, Metazoa, Chordata, Aves, Gruiformes, Gruidae. The transcript is spliced from 3 exons.
GGGACGUGCGACACCUGCCCCGCAGCCGCCGCCAAGGGGCGGGAGCGCUCUUUGGGCGAAGCGACCCCCGAGCGCUGCGGCAGCUUCCUGGCAGGGGGAAGGAAAAUCCCGCGUCCCGGAGCCGCGGAGCCUGACAAGCUUCAGAGCCAGGCACGGUGUGAACAGACAGCAUACAGUCAGGAGGAGGAAUCUUCACACAUCUCAGAGCCAGACCGUGUGCAGACUCCACAAGUCAUCUAAGAAACCUUUUCGAAUGGCAUCCUCACUGCUCCCUAUUCCUAACUUUCUUCUGAGCCAAGUCCUCUGAUGACUUCACACACAGCUGCUGCCGUGAACAAAACACCUGCAUUGCUCAAAGUUACUCCAAUCCCUCUACAGGAUUGUCAGGCAGAGCUGGGAGCCCCAUUUAACCAGACCUCCUUCCACCUGCAUGACUUCCCUGUCUGCAGGCAGCACAGAAUACAGCAUCCUGACUUACAGGUUUUGUUGCACCAAGCCCCAAUUCUGCGUUACAGAAGCUGUGAGAAGCAGCUCCUACCAGCUGAGGAUAGCACGUGGAAUGACAGGACACAAGAAAAGC